UUUGCCUACGGGGCGCAGCAGUGGGGAAUAUUGCACAAUGGGGGAAACCCUGAUGCAGCGACGCCGCGUGAGUGAAGAAGUAUUUCGGUAUGUAAAGCUCUAUCAGCAGGAACGAGACAAGACGGUACCUGACUAAGAAGCCCCGGCUAACUACGUGCCAGCAGCCGCGGUAAUACGUAGGGAGCGAGCGUUAUCCGGAAUUAUUGGGUGUAAAGGGUGCGUAGACGGGAAAACAAGUUAGUUGUGAAAUCCCUCGGCUUAACUGAGGAACUGCAACUAAAACUAUUUUUCUUGAGUGCAGGAGA
This 305-nucleotide ribosomal RNA is filed under the name uncultured bacterium. RNAcentral's name for it is "bacterial SSU rRNA". It matches the Rfam family "Bacterial small subunit ribosomal RNA", at positions 334 to 655 of the family's 1533-position model. The record is from RNAcentral.